GUGCCAGCAGCCGCGGUAAUACGUAGGAUCCGAGCGUUGUCCGGAAUUACUGGGUGUAAAGGGCGUGUAGGUGGGUUCCUAAGUCGGUGGUGAAAUCCCGCAGCUUAACUGCGGAAUUGCCUUCGAUACUGGGGAUCUUGAGUGCGGCAGAGGGAGAUGGAAUUCAUGGUGUAGCGGUGAAAUGUGUAGAUAUCAUGAAGAACACCGGUAGCGAAGGCGGUCUCCUGGUCCGUAACUGACACUGAUGCGCGAAAGCGUGGGGAGCAAACAGGAUUAGAUACCCCAGUAGUCC
This 292-nucleotide ribosomal RNA is filed under the name uncultured bacterium. RNAcentral's name for it is "partial 16S ribosomal RNA". It matches the Rfam family "Bacterial small subunit ribosomal RNA", at positions 505 to 796 of the family's 1533-position model. The record is from RNAcentral.